Molecule: ribosomal RNA, 301 nt
Filed under: uncultured bacterium
Lineage: Bacteria
Description: partial 16S ribosomal RNA
Rfam family: Bacterial small subunit ribosomal RNA
Source: RNAcentral
CAGCCGCCGCGGUAUUGCGAAGGGUGCAAGCGUUAAUCGGAAUUACUGGGCGUAAAGCGUGCGUAGGCGGUUUGUUAAGUCUGUUGUGAAAUCCCCGGGCUCAACCUGGGAAUGGCAAUGGAUACUGGCAAGCUAGAGUGUGUCAGAGGAUGGUGGAAUUCCCGGUGUAGCGGUGAAAUGCGUAGAGAUCGGGAGGAACAUCAGUGGCGAAGGCGGCCAUCUGGGACAACACUGACGCUGAGGCACGAAAGCGUGGGGAGCAAACAGGAUUAGAUACCCGCGUAGUCCCUGUCUCUUAUAC